RNAcentral lists this ribosomal RNA (253 nucleotides) under uncultured bacterium. RNAcentral's name for it is "partial 16S ribosomal RNA". It matches the Rfam family "Bacterial small subunit ribosomal RNA", at positions 524 to 776 of the family's 1533-position model. The record is from RNAcentral.
GGCGGAGGAUGCAAGCGUUAUCCGGAAUGAUUGGGCGUAAAGCGUCCGCAGGUGGCAGUUCAAGUCUGCUGUCAAAGACCGGGGCUCAACCUCGGAAAGGCAGUGGAAACUGAACAGCUAGAGUAUGGUAGGGGCAAAGGGAAUUCCUGGUGUAGCGGUGAAAUGCGUAGAGAUCAGGAGGAACACCGAUGGCGAAGGCAGGUCUCUGGGCCGAUACUGACGCUGAGGAGCGAAAGCGUGGGGAGCGAACAGG